RNAcentral lists this ribosomal RNA (301 nucleotides) under uncultured bacterium. RNAcentral's name for it is "partial 16S ribosomal RNA". It matches the Rfam family "Bacterial small subunit ribosomal RNA", at positions 509 to 808 of the family's 1533-position model. The record is from RNAcentral.
CAGCCGCCACGGUAAUACGGAGGGGGCUAGCGUUGUUCGGAAUUACUGGGCGUAAAGCGCACGUAGGCGGCUUUGUAAGUUAGAGGUGAAAGCCCGGAGCUCAACUCCGGAAUUGCCUUUAAGACUGCAGAGCUAGCAGGUGAGAGAGGUGAGUGGAAUUCCGAGUGUAGAGGUGAAAUUCGUAGAUAUUCGGAAGAACACCAGUGGCGAAGGCGGCUUACUGGCUCAUACUGGACGCUGAGACGCGAAAGCGUGGGGAGCAAACAGGAUUAGAUACCCGGUAGUCCCUGUCUCUUAUACC